RNAcentral lists this unclassified non-coding RNA (2906 nucleotides) under Homo sapiens (human). RNAcentral's name for it is "HLA complex group 18 (ENSG00000234893.6)". The record is from RNAcentral. Lineage: Eukaryota; Metazoa; Chordata; Mammalia; Primates; Hominidae.
AAGCUGGGGUGUCGGCGGGCGGCCGCGGCCGGGUCUAGUGGUGCCUGCGGAAGAAGGAGGAGGAGGGCUGGCGAUGAGAAGCAGCAGGGGGAAUCAAGGGCAAGAAGGGACCCAGAGGGGCAGGUGGCUGAGAUGCUGGCGUCCAGGUGACCCGAGGAAUCCUCUGGAGAUACAGGCCCGCGCAUGCGCGUGCUCGAGCGCUGAAGCCCAUUGCCCGCAGGGCGCUGGACUGGCGCCCCGGCCGGCGAGGCUGUCUAGUCCAGGCUCCAGGCCCCGGCUCUGGCCAGGCGCCGCCGCCUCCCGGUGCAGCUGAAAGUCGACGAAGAGGGCGGGGCGGGGGCGGCUUGUGGACUUCCACACUUUUCCUCUCUUCGGGCCAGUCUGGGGAGAGGGUGGCUAGCUGUGGCGGCGGCCAAUUACGUGGCGGACCUGCGGGGCUAAGCUGGCACGUCACUUCCGACUAGUGGAGUUUUUAGCCUUUUAACAUUCAAGGAUUAGGUAAAAGUCUUGCAGUGAAAAACCCGAGGACCCUUACCGCAAGUGUCUUUUGCUCCCAGCUACUGAUACUGGAUUCCACUCGUGAUUCUCCCUUUCUUAGCGCAUUCAUGAUAUAGACAUCAGUCUCUGAGCUGGAGGAGGACAAAGGCAGCGGUCCUGUGAAUUCUAUGCUCUAGCUUGGGUUAAGGGAUUUGGAAUUGCACUUGUUUCAGAGAGCUCCCUCUUUGCCCACUAGCAGGGCAUUAGCUGGUGCUGAAGACAGUGGCUGCUUGGCGAGCCUGGAUCUCCAAGUGACCCCCUCAGCAACUCCUGAUGAACAGGACUGAAGCCAAUAUUAAAGCAAGUCAACCAAAGGUUCUCUGGUGUAGACAAGACAGCAAAAGGACAGACUACCUUGUGGAACCUAGCAUUGUUCUCCUUCUGCAGCACUAAGUAACAUUUGUUCUCCGUUAAGAUCUUUGCAAACCACACACAAGAAUUGCUGGUCAUCCUGCCAAUAGAUGCUGCUCACAGAACCAAAUUUCCUGUGCUGAAUUGUCACUCAUGGGCUUGAGAGUAGGAGACUGGAGACCAAGGUGGCUAGAAUCCAGUUGGGCCUGAUGUCUCCCUGUUGAAAGGGCUCCUUGUGGAAUGAAUAGCACAUGGCUCCUGUGGUGGAUCUGAUAGUGGCAUAGCACCAAGUGAUGCAGGCCUGCCAGGGGCCACAGACACAGAAGAUGCUCCCGGGGUCCCCCAUGUACUCCAGACACACUGCAGGCCACCUCUCCCAGCAGGUUGCCAGUCAUGGGCCCCAUCAUCAUGACUUCUGUCCAAGGUACUGUGUGCAGAAAUGUGAUUGAGAUUCAAGUCAGGGCCUCUCUGCCCUUUUCCCUCCAGAAACAAAACCAAGAUAAUUUAUCCUGAACACGGUGAAAAAAGGAAGGGAGGGAGGAGAAAAAGUCCGGGUCUCACCUGGGAUUCUCUGUCUCCUGCAACAUGAAGGAUUUAGCCUGGGAGGAGGUGGUGAGAACUCUGGGAGAGAAAAAAGAAGGAAAGAAUAGUUUUACCCAUGCUGAAGUUAAUUUAAACCUUCACCUAGAGAAGCAAAAAAAAAAAACCCACACUUUCCCAUUUUGUGCCUCCCUUCCUAGAGUUUUAGCCAAAGGUUUAGCUAAGUAAUUGGUUUUACCAGCGCACUCACUCCUCCUAUCCCAAGUCUGUUUGACUCCCUCCCCAUCAUCCUCCUCACCUCUUUUCAGGCAGGGUGGGGAUAGCAGCAGGAGGAGAUUUUGGGAGCCUGGCAACUCCUGCAAGGACCGCAGGACAGCCCCUCUGUGGGGAUGCGUGGUGCCCCAUCUGCCGCCCUUCUGAAGAAUGCACUGCCUUCACUUUUUACUGUGUUAGAGUCCAUCCAGACUGUUCUAUCCAAAAAAGUUUCUUUUUCCCCCACAGGCAAUCAGGAAAUGAUUCCUUUCCCGACUGCUUCUGUCUAGUGCCUGGGAAUCUUGAGUCAAUCCCUCAGUAAGUCAGUGACUAGGGAAAUCCCUCUCUGAGCCUCCCAGUUCAUGUUGCUUAGGGAACCUGAUAUUUUCGUGAAACCUGCCUACACAUGGGCAGCCCAACAGCAGAACAAAUGGUGGUGACCAAAGUGAACAAAGAAGUAUAGUUGUGCCAGCUUCGUAGUUGCCCAUGUGGACAAGUCAGCAGGAUCAGGACACGAGGAAGAGUAAAUGUGAGACAGUCAAUGUGACUUCUGCGAUAAACAGAUUUUUAAACCCCGAAAUUUUGCAAAAUUUUGGUGAAACCUGAACUUUCUUCGUUGCAUAUACUGGCACUAUCUGUACCAUCAUACAACUGUCUCACAUUAAAGCUAUUUUUCUUGGGCACUGAUGAGUAAGGUUGGUAUAAGUUCCUCAGAUCAACAAAAACCCAUUUUCCUGUAAGUCUUACAUUUAGUAUUUAAGGAACUAAAACUUAAAUACAUUUUGUGAAAUGGUUGACACUUCACUGAUAAUGAUUUAUUGCUUGGAUUAAUAAAUUUUCCAAAAGUUGUCUUAUGUAGAAUAUGGUUUGCAACCAGCAGAACCAUUAAUCUAUACUGCAAUGAUAUGCACUAUGUAUAAUUGUUUAAAAGCCUCUACUUAAUGAUGUAAAAUGCUCUAUUUAAUUACACAUUUGGGUAAACUGUAUACUAACAUCUGAUGGCAUUUUUCCACUGUUUGUUGCUUUUUUCAAAUACUUUAUUGUACAAAGCUGUUCUUAAUAUUUUUCAAGUUUUUUUCUUUGAAUUUUGCUAAUGUUUUCCUUGAAUUAUGAGCACUGACAGAAUGUGCUUAGCACUUUUGGCUAUUCACACAGCUUUUGAGCAUGAUUUGCAUCCAAUAUUUACAUUGCUAGCAAUAAUAAGCCAUCUGUGAGUUUUGUCAAAA